ACGAACGCUGGCGGCGUGCCUAACACAUGCCAGUCGAACGGAAAGGCCCUGCUUUUGUGGGGUGCUCGUGUGGCGAACGGGUGAGUAACACGUGAGUAACCUGCCCUUGACUUUGGGAUAACUUCAGGAAACUGGGGCUAAUACCGGAUAGGAGCUCCUGCUGCAUGGUGGGGGUUGGAAAGUUUCGGCGGUUGGGGAUGGACUCGCGGCUUAUCAGCUUGUUGGUGGGGUAGUGGCUUACCAAGGCUUUGACGGGUAGCCGGCCUGAGAGGGUGACCGGCCACAUUGGGACUGAGAUACGGCCCAGACUCCUACGGGAGGCAGCAGUGGGGAAUAUUGCACAAUGGGCGGAAGCCUGAUGCAGCAACGCCGCGUGCGGGAUGACGGCCUUCGGGUUGUAAACCGCUUUCGCCUGUGACGAAGCGUGAGUGACGGUAAUGGGUAAAGAAGCACCGGCUAACUACGUG
RNAcentral lists this ribosomal RNA (467 nucleotides) under uncultured bacterium. RNAcentral describes it as "partial 16S ribosomal RNA". It matches the Rfam family "Bacterial small subunit ribosomal RNA", at positions 29 to 507 of the family's 1533-position model. The record is from RNAcentral.